AAGAGGAGGAGGGGAGGAAGAGCAGAGGGAGAUGAGAGGAGCUUUUGAUAUUUAUUAGGCCUGGACCUCACCAAAGACCUCUCCCAGGACUGCCGAUGUGACAAUUAAGCCAGAGCUGAGAAGAAAGGGAGGUUGCAGCCUUGAGACACGAACAAAAGCAGCAACGAAGGAGGACGAAGGGGGUGGGGGUGGGGGGUUAGAGAAGGGUUUAGCGUACGAAACAACAACACAAAAAAAAAAAGAAACGGAGGGGGAAGAAAGGCUCCGGAAAGGAGCCGCUGGAGUUUGCUGAAGAAAACGGCAUCAGCGUCUUAGACGUGAUCAAGGUGCCUCCCAUCUGACAAACGCCAUCGAGGCCUGACACGUAGAGAGGCGUGCCCCCGGGUCCGCCGGCUUUUGUUGCGCAUUAAUGACCCUGCCUCCAUUCCACCCACAACGCCCGCAGCUCUCGCUACACCUUUUCUUUUUCCUUCGCCCUCGUUUCACCUCGUUUUCUGUGUGAGUGUGUGUGUGUGUGUGCUCGGAAACGCUCUUGUCUCAGAGGAGCUCGGCGCCGCACAAUGGCCAUCUAAACUCAUUAAGAAAAUUCCGUAAAGAGCCAUUAACAAACGGCUUCUCUUUGGCCGGAGAUAUCAGGUCUAAUUAGGUGACCGUUCUUGACAGGGUUGCAAAAACAAAAGGCGCACUCGCAUUUGAAAAGGUUCAGGUCCCGUAAAGGGCCUCACUUCUUUUUAUUUAUAUAUUUAUUUUCUUUUCGGUUUUCCCUCCCUCAUCUUCAUCUCCCCUCCCUGCCAGAGCCAACUAAGGACUCAAGAUUGAACAGGUGAUUCGCUGUCCUCUUUUGCGAGACUAAACACCGACGGUCAAACGGACUACAGUGUCAACCCGGAAGAACUUCUUCUGAUCCGGUUCAACUUCAAGUCGGUGUGGCACCUGUGAAGUUCACACUCCUUUUAUGUCUUUAACAAGAUAAAAACAACAGAAAAAUACAGUUUUUGUCCCACCGAUGGACCCCUAGUAGAUUAAAACAUCUGCUUAAAUUCAGCAAACAGCUCCACCGUUUGUUUAAAGGUGAUUACAAAAAAAACAUACGACUUUUUCCCUUAAUUGUACAAAAAAAGGGUAUAAAUUGCAUCAAUUAUGCCAAUUUAUAUCAAUAAAGACCAACAAAUUGGAUACAAGGUCAUAAAGAUUGUUAAUGAACACACAGGUUAAACACUUUUUUUUCAAAUACAGCAUCGCACUUACAAAAAUGUUUGUUAUUUAGCUUUUAUAUGCUGGAAUGUUUCUCAGUUUCUUAAUUUAUCCAGUAGUAUUAUUCAAAAUCUGUAAUUUAUAGACUACACACUUUCUUUGGGAUCAUUUAUUUUCUAUAAAGAUUGCACAAUUGCAGUGAUAGUCCUAGAAAUUAUUCAUAUGCUACCUAAAUUGGAUAACCUGUUUUUAAAAAAGAAAAAUAUUGCCCGAUUAUAGUAAGAAGUCAUAAGCAAAUACUCGUAAACUACAAAUGCUGGAUCAGCUACUUUUGAAAAAGAAAAAACAUUGCUUAAACGCGGUGCUUAAAUUUGCGAGUCGAAUAGAAUCGGAUCGUUAAAAAUGGACUGAUAUUGUGUUGUCAACUACGAAUAACGGCAAUAGAUCGAAUUGUUUAAGGGAAUCGUCACGCCCCAUAAGGACGUUUCCGACUCAGCAAAUCCCUUCUACGCAAAAGAAUUUCUAAGGGUGAUGCAAUGAAAAAUGGUAUUGACCUCUUUUUCUUGCUUUACUUUGUCGUGAAAUGUAGGAUCUCUGUUUUUUUUUCGUAAUACGUAAAACACAAAAAUUCCGACAUGUCUUUUAAUCAUCCGGCCCUCCGUUCUUCCUUCUCUCUUCGAUCUGGGAUAAAGAGUGCUCUCCGCGAAGGAAAACCUAAAAGCUUGACAUCAUUUGCAGUGUUCGGACGCUUUGCCAGGAAUUGCUGCAAACACUGUAAAAAAAAAAAAAACUCCACUAACAGUUGGUUUAUCAAGUAUACCACUCUGGGAAAUUACAUUUUCUCUGUUAUGCUGAGUGCAUGUGUGUGUUUGUGUGGCCAGUGGCUCCGUAGAUGUGUAUAUUGUUUAUGAUAAGACAUAUUCUUGCCUCUUAAUCUCUCGUUUCACACUGGAGCUGCUUCAGAUUAGGAUCUUUGCAGUUUUAAAUUGGCUUUUUGCUCCAGACUGAAGAAUUUUCCCAUGUUUACGACCGAGUUCGAAACCGGCCACAUUUAGAUCCACACCAGCAACACAACCCUAACAUGAUUAGGGAAAUGGCCCAUGAAAAACGUUGAUUAUUCCACUGCCAUUUCUUUUUUUUUUUUAUUUCUUUUUUGCUCUUAUCUUAAGUAAAGCAACAAUCACA
Non-coding RNA from Oryzias latipes (Japanese medaka), 2379 nucleotides. The record is from RefSeq and is a predicted model, not a curated record. Lineage: Eukaryota; Metazoa; Chordata; Actinopteri; Beloniformes; Adrianichthyidae.